This 492-nucleotide ribosomal RNA is filed under the name uncultured bacterium. Its description in RNAcentral is "partial 16S ribosomal RNA". It matches the Rfam family "Bacterial small subunit ribosomal RNA", at positions 29 to 507 of the family's 1533-position model. The record is from RNAcentral.
AUUGAACGCUGGCGGCAUGCUUUACACAUGCAAGUCGAACGGUAACAGGCCUUCGGGUGCUGACGAGUGGCUAACGGGUGAGUAAUGCAUCGGAACGUACCCAGAGGUGGGGGAUAACGCAGCGAAAGCUGUGCUAAUACCGCAUGUGAUCUGAGGAUGAAAGCGGGGGACCGAGCAGCAAUGUUUGGCCUCGCGCCUUUGGAGCGGCCGAUGUCGGAUUAGCUAGUUGGUGGGGUAAAGGCCUACCAAGGCGACGAUCCGUAGCUGGUCUGAGAGGACGACCAGCCACACUGGGACUGAGACACGGCCCAGACUCCUACGGGAGGCAGCAGUGGGGAAUUUUGGACAAAGGGCGCAAGCCUGAUCCAGCAAUGCCGCGUGCGGGAAGAAGGCCUUCGGGUUGUAAACCGCUUUUGGCAGGAACGAAACGGUGUCCGCUAAUACCGGGCGCUAAUGACGGUACCUGCAGAAUAAGCACCGGCUAACUACGUG